RNAcentral lists this ribosomal RNA (439 nucleotides) under uncultured bacterium. RNAcentral describes it as "partial 16S ribosomal RNA". It matches the Rfam family "Bacterial small subunit ribosomal RNA", at positions 339 to 795 of the family's 1533-position model. The record is from RNAcentral.
CUACGGGGGGCAGCAGUGAGGAAUAUUGCACAAUGGGGGGAACCCUGUUGCAGCAACGCCGCGUGGAGGAUGACGCAUUUCGGUGUGUAAACUCCUUUUAUAUGUCAAGAAAAUGACGGUAGCAUAUGAAUAAGCACCGGCUAACUCCGUGCCAGCAGCCGCGGUAAUACGGAGGGUGCAAGCGUUACUCGGAAUCACUGGGCGUAAAGGACGCGUAGGCGGGUUGGAAAGUCAGGUGUGAAAUCCUACAGCUUAACUGUAGAACUGCACUUGAAACUUCUAAUCUAGAGUAUGGGAGGGGGGGAUGGAAUUAGUGGUGUAGGGGUAAAAUCCGUAGAUAUCACUAGGAAUACCUAAAGCGAAGGCGAUCUCCUGGAACAUUACUGACGCUAAGGCGUGAAAGCGUGGGGAGCAAACAGGAUUAGAUACCCCGGUAGUC